AGGUUCCGUCGCUUUCUGUGUUGUAUUCGGUUUGACUUGACGCUAGAAGAAAUGUCCGCCGUUCACUUGUUCACCAGAUCAGACGUUCACCCUUGAUUUCCAACAUUACUUUAACUCCUGAAAGCUGUCGUGGGCUUCCUUCCUAGGCAGCGUAUGUCACUGACACCUGGUUAGAACUGGCUUUCCUUAUGGUGUCUCCCACCAUGAAAGGGGUGGUGGAUGCCAUAUGGGCAGUGUGGAGCAUCGGGGUUUCCAUCUAUGACUACAUCCACACAGAUGCCAUGGAGAAGCGCAUCCAUGCCCUGGAGUACGCUAUCACCAUCCACCAGUGUGUGAUCGGGCUGCUUUCCGCAGGCAUGCUGGUGCUCUUUACCUACAUCAUCUUCAAGAAGCUUUGAAGAUGUGAUGGAGCUAGCUGGCACUAUGGAUUGAUUAGAACCAAGCACACAUCCUGUGUGGUAAAGCAAACAGAGCAAAAUUUUUAACUUUGGUAAACUGGUUUACAAGGGAGGGUUGUCUUUUAAAGUGGUCCAUGAAGGGUAUAUAAAGGUCAAAUCACUGACUCCUAAAGGAGGCAGCUCUGUGGAGCUCCACAGUUCAAGAGAUGGGGAGAAGUCUGGAUUGAAGGUUUUUGUAUUGAGGUUGAUGUUUAUUUUACAAAUGUGUUAAUACUUGAAAUGUUCAAAUUAAAUAUGUCUCAGUGGUUACUGAGGUACAGGGAGGUGUGAUAUGACAGUCAAAUAGAACAGGAAUUUCGGUUCAUCAGGAAAAAUGUUUGACCAAACUGAAACUUAGGCAGAGAAGUGAAUGUUUGUUUGUUUUUUUGCCCUUGACCUAUGGUAACACUUCUGUUUGACACCGUUUUAUUAGUGCAUAUAAAAACUUAAAAAGGCAGGGAUGAGAAAAUCAUACAAAUCUGUGGAUAUCGUCUACCAUGCUGUCUCAAAUUGAUGUGCUGUCGUUGCAGUCAAUAAUUUGCCAAAAUGCAACUUUGCCAACCAUUUAAUUAAAAAAAAAAGUCUUACAUAGUACUGCAAAAUGUUGCACAGCUUCUCAUAGUCUUAGUCAACCAGUCAGUUCCUCCAGUCCCGUCUUCUCAAACAAGGGUCUGGAUUCACUCCACUGUGAGGAAGUGGUGUUUGACCUGUGGAUUUCUGAACCCAAACAUUUGGGGGGCUGAUUUAAUGAGAGCCCAAAAAAUAAGUAAUUAAUAAGUGGCACUAAAAUUUUGACUGUAUAACAAAAUCCAUGGACAGGCAGAACAUGGCGCUACAUGCCAAUUAAUCUCAUUUUAAUUUUUGUUCAUGUUUAGCCAGGUCAGUACGUGGGUUGUGCACUUUAAAAAAAAAACACAGACAAGGACCUCUUGACCUCUCAGUGAAAACAAGAUGGUUCAAACCUUUCCACUGUACACGUAGAAUUUAAAGUGUCCUUAAAAACUGUAAAUACACUCAAACUGGCUGCUCACAUCACCUAAAUUCGUAUAACGCAGCAAACUGUAGAAUAUUUGCAUUUACAUUACGAUAUUUGCCUUUACCAUAGUCCACUCUUUGCAGAAGAGGACUCGAGAGGAUUGCAAACGAUUAUGACCUCAAUCCUUGUAUGAUGAACAGACCAACUUGAAUUGCCGUAGAACACCCUCAUCCAUGAACUGCUUCAGAAGAAUGCGUUGUCGGUUUUUGCAGACAAUGUCCUUUCUGCAGUGACCAUUCUCACCAAGGUGAAGGACACACUUAUGGUGUCAUCCACCAGUCUGUGCAUUUGACUGGCAAUAACCCAUCAGAAGUGUCAGGCAUCAUCGAAAUCAAGAGAUACAACUGACCAAAACACAGAAUCCAGUCACAAUUGCAACGUGCCCACACCUUCCAGUAUCAUCCUGCAGCAGCACACUGCAAUGAACAUCUCAAGCCGGUGUGUGCAGCCGGCUUGAGAUGUUCAUGUUGUAUUUAGCUGCCAGUUGAGAAGUUCUACAGAUGUGCUGCUAACCCAUGGUGCAUUUGCUGCUUAAUAUUUGUUUGUUUGACAAAGAUAACAUUUUGUAAGGUGAAAACAGGGCCUAUAUGACUGCUAACACAUGGUGUGAAAUUAGAAUAGAGUUGUGUACAAUGAAGGGCUUUAGUCAAAAAAGGUUGCUUGCCUAAGCUAAGGGUUUUAUUGGGUAAACGAUAACAGAAAUGAACAGCUUUUUGUCAUAAUACUAUGUGUCUUCAAAAUGACAAAUAAAUUCUUGCAAGUAAA
Long non-coding RNA from Thalassophryne amazonica, 2238 nucleotides. RefSeq lists it as uncharacterized. The record is from RefSeq and is a predicted model, not a curated record. The transcript has 2 exons. NCBI's taxonomy places the organism in Eukaryota, Metazoa, Chordata, Actinopteri, Batrachoidiformes, Batrachoididae.